UGGGGAAUAUUGGACAAUGGGCGCAAGCCUGAUCCAGCCAUGCCGCGUGAGUGAUGAAGGCCUUAGGGUUGUAAAGCUCUUUUAUCCGGGACGAUAAUGACGGUACCGGAGGAAUAAGCCCCGGCUAACUUCGUGCCAGCAGCCGCGGUAAUACGAAGGGGGCUAGCGUUGCUCGGAAUCACUGGGCGUAAAGGGCGCGUAGGCGGCGUUUUAAGUCGGGGGUGAAAGCCUGUGGCUCAACCACAGAAAUGGCCUUCGAUACUGGGACGCUUGAGUAUGGUAGAGGUUGGUGGAACUGCGAGUGUAGAGGUGAAAUUCGUAGAUAUUCGCAAGAACACCGGUGGCGAAGGCGGCCAACUGGACCAUUUACUGACGCUCAGGUGCGAAAGCGUGGGGAGCAAAACA
RNAcentral lists this ribosomal RNA (405 nucleotides) under uncultured Methylobacterium sp. Its description in RNAcentral is "bacterial SSU rRNA". It matches the Rfam family "Bacterial small subunit ribosomal RNA", at positions 355 to 775 of the family's 1533-position model. The record is from RNAcentral. Lineage: Bacteria; Pseudomonadati; Pseudomonadota; Alphaproteobacteria; Hyphomicrobiales; Methylobacteriaceae.